RNAcentral lists this ribosomal RNA (1602 nucleotides) under human gut metagenome. RNAcentral's name for it is "bacterial LSU rRNA". It matches the Rfam family "Bacterial large subunit ribosomal RNA", at positions 372 to 1991 of the family's 2925-position model. The record is from RNAcentral.
CCUGUAGGUGAAAGUCAAGAUAAUCAAGUUCUGAUCCAGAGUACCACGAGACACGUGAAACCUUGUGGGAAGCAGGGAGGACCACCUCCCAAGGCUAAAUACUACCUGAUGACCGAUAGUGAAGCAGUACCGUGAGGGAAAGGUGAAAAGAACCCCGGGAGGGGAGUGAAAUAGAACCUGAAACCGUGUGCCUACAACCGGUCAAAGCCCCUUAUGAGGGUGAUGACGUGCUUUUUGUAGAACGAGCCAACGAGUUACGGUAUGUAGCAAGGUUAAGUACUUAAGGUACGGAGCCGAAGGGAAACCGAGUCUUAAUAGGGCGACUAGUUGCAUGCCGUAGACCCGAAACCGGGUGACCUAUCCAUGGCCAGGUUGAAGCGAGGGUAAAACUUCGUGGAGGACCGAACCACGUUGCUGUUGAAAAAGCAUGGGAUGAGCUGUGGAUAGCGGAGAAAUUCCAAUCGAACUCGGAGAUAGCUGGUUCUCCCCGAAAUAGCUUUAGGGCUAGCGUCGGAUAUGUGUAGUGGAGGUAGAGCACUGAAUGGGCUAGGGGGCAUAGCGCUUACCGAACCUUAUCAAACUCCGAAUGCCACAUACAUUAAGUCCGGCAGUCAGACUACGAAUGAUAAGAUCCGUGGUCAAAAGGGAAACAGCCCAGAUCGUCAGCUAAGGUCCCAAAGUGUAAGUUAAGUGGAAAAGGAUGUGGGAUUUCUAAGACAACUAGGAUGUUGGCUUAGAAGCAGCCACUCAUUUAAAGAGUGCGUAAUAGCUCACUAGUCGAGAGAUCCUGCGCCGAAAAUGUCCGGGGCUAAAACUUACCACCGAAGCUACGGGCUUGCGUAAGCAAGCGGUAGGGGAGCGUCGUAAUCGGGCUGAAGUCGUACCGUAAGGAGCGGUGGACUGAUUACGAGUGAGAAUGUUGGCAUUAGUAGCGAGAUGUAGGUGAGAAUCCUACAGGCCGAAUAUCUAAGGUUUCCUCAGGAAGGCUCGUCCGCUGAGGGUUAGUCGGGACCUAAGCCGAGGCCGAAAGGCGUAGGCGAUGGACAAUCGGUUGAUAUUCCGAUACCACUACCAUCGUUAUUAUCGAGGGUGUGACGGAGAAGGAUAGUGUGUGCUAGCGAUUGGAAAUGCUAGUCUAAGCGUUUAGGGAGUUACGGUAGGCAAAUCCGCUGUAACAAUUCUGAGGCGUGAUGGGGAAGGCCAUAUAGGCCGAAGUACAUGAUUCCAUGCUUCCAAGAAAAGCAUCUAGAGAGAGAAGUAGUGCCCGUACCGCAAACCGACACAGGUAGAUGAGGAGAGAAUCCUAAGGCCGGCGGAAGAAUUGCAGUUAAGGAACUAGGCAAAUUGACCCCGUAAGUUCGCGAGAAGGGGUGCCUGCGAGAGCAGGCCGCAGAGAAUAGGCCCAAGCAACUGUUUAGCAAAAACACAGGUCUCUGCUAAAGCGCAAGCUGAUGUAUAGGGGCUGACGCCUGCCCGGUGCUGGAAGGUUAAGGGGAACACUUAGCGCAAGCGAAGGUGUGAACUUAAGCCCCAGUAAACGGCGGCCGUAACUAUAACGGUCCUAAGGUAGCGAAAUUCCUUGUCAGGUAAGUUCUGACCCGC